This 253-nucleotide ribosomal RNA is filed under the name uncultured bacterium. Its description in RNAcentral is "partial 16S ribosomal RNA". It matches the Rfam family "Bacterial small subunit ribosomal RNA", at positions 524 to 776 of the family's 1533-position model. The record is from RNAcentral.
GACAGAGGAGCCAAGCGUUGUCCGGAUUGACUGGGCGUAAAGCGCACGCAGGCGGUCGUGCACGUGGGGUGUGAAAACUGGCGGCUUAACUGCCAGAGGCCACCUCAUACGGCGCGACUCGAGCCCUGCAGAGGUCCAUGGAAUUGCCGGUGUAGUGGUGAAAUGCGUAGAGAUCGGCAGGAACACCCAGGGGGAAACCAGUGGACUGGGCAGGAGCUGACGCUCAGGUGCGAAAGCGUGGGUAGCAAACAGG